This 404-nucleotide ribosomal RNA is filed under the name uncultured Bacteroidota bacterium. Its description in RNAcentral is "bacterial SSU rRNA". It matches the Rfam family "Bacterial small subunit ribosomal RNA", at positions 408 to 809 of the family's 1533-position model. Lineage: Bacteria; Pseudomonadati; Bacteroidota. The record is from RNAcentral.
AUGACGGCCCUAUGGGUUGUAAACUGCUUUUAUACACCAAGAAAAACCUCCACGUGUGGAGACUUGACGGUAGUGUAUGAAUAAGCAUCGGCUAACUCCGUGCCCCCGGCCGCGGUAAUGGGGAGGAUGCAAGCGUUAUCCGGAUUCAUUGGGUUUAAAGGGUGCGUAGGCGGCCUUUUAAGUCAGUGGUGAAAUCUUGCCGCUUAACGGUAAAAUUGCCAUUGAUACUGAAAGGCUUGAAUACAGUUGAGGUAAGCGGAAUGUGUAUUGUAGCGGUGAAAUGCUUAGAUAUUACACAGAACACCAAUUGCGAAGGCAGCUUACUAAACUGGUACUGACGCUGAUGCACGAAAGCGUGGGGAGCGAACAGGAUUAGAUACCCUGGUAGAGUCACUAGUGAAUUC